AAAAAUGACCGGCCUGUGUCAUUAACACCGGUGUAUUCAUUGUGAAAUUCGAACAGAGCUCACACGAAAUGCUCAAAUUAUAUUGGAGUAGCAGGAGUACAAGUGAGAAGGGAGAAAGAGGGCAGAAUAAAUCGUCGAGAAAACGGAAGGAAGGAAAGAUUUUUGGUUUUCGGGAAAAGCGUUGAAAUUACGGGCGGGGAGAAAGAAGGGCGGUGAGAACUCGGAGGAAUAAGACGAUAUUUUAAAAAUUGAAGCGGGUCGUUUGAUUCAGCCCGAAAACAUAUUUUAUGAUUCUAUAUUUUUUAGGGAAAAUUUCAUUUUUUAGACAGGGUUUUUUUUUUUUUUUUUAAUUUAAACCGUUGAAUAACCUUAUGCUUAUAUAAUAUUUAUUUAUUUUUAUACAUUUAUUAUCUGUUCAGACUUUUAG
Non-coding RNA from Cinara cedri, 427 nucleotides. Lineage: Eukaryota; Metazoa; Arthropoda; Insecta; Hemiptera; Aphididae. The record is from the annotation of a GenBank genome assembly.